This 73-nucleotide transfer RNA is filed under the name Deltaproteobacteria bacterium. RNAcentral's name for it is "tRNA-His". It matches the Rfam family "tRNA". From Rfam's summary of the family: Transfer RNA (tRNA) molecules are approximately 80 nucleotides in length. Their secondary structure includes four short double-helical elements and three loops (D, anti-codon, and T loops). The record is from RNAcentral. Lineage: Bacteria; Pseudomonadati; Myxococcota; Myxococcia.
GUGGGCGUAGCUCAGUUGGUAGAGCUCCGGAUUGUGAUUCCGGGGGUCGCGGGUUCAAGCCCCGUCGUUCGCC